This 308-nucleotide long non-coding RNA is filed under the name Elaeis guineensis (African oil palm). Its description in RNAcentral is "long non-coding RNA (EGUI_LNC008815)". The record is from RNAcentral. Lineage: Eukaryota; Viridiplantae; Streptophyta; Magnoliopsida; Arecales; Arecaceae.
UGGGGGGUGGUAAGGGGAAUUCCCUAUGAAGAUGCUCUAGGUCUUCAUGUUUGGACCCUGCAAUAUAUCCAAAUUUAUGGUCAAUCAAGGUUUGGCCUCGGAUCUAGGAGUAGACUAGAGGCCCAGAGUAUACUAAGGCAGUCUCAAGGUGGCCUCUUUUCUCAGAUAUAAACUUGGUUUUAUCUCAAUCCUUUGGCUCAUUCCUUAGCCUUUUCUUUUAAGAUUCAAACUCCAUCAUGGUAAUCCACAAGGACAUUUAAGGCGAUUUAUGCAUAAGGAGCCACUACUAAUGAAAUAUUACAGAUACG